UAACGAAGAUGUUCUUGGC
This 19-nucleotide small nuclear RNA is filed under the name Arabidopsis thaliana (thale cress). Its description in RNAcentral is "snRNA_11485". The record is from RNAcentral. Lineage: Eukaryota; Viridiplantae; Streptophyta; Magnoliopsida; Brassicales; Brassicaceae.